Molecule: transfer RNA, 66 nt
Filed under: bovine gut metagenome
Rfam family: tRNA
About the family: Transfer RNA (tRNA) molecules are approximately 80 nucleotides in length.
Source: RNAcentral
GGGUGUAGUUCAAUGGCAGAACAGCGGUCUCCAAAACCGUCAAUGUGGGUUCGAUUCCUGCCACCC